RNAcentral lists this transfer RNA (73 nucleotides) under Felis catus (domestic cat). It matches the Rfam family "tRNA". From Rfam's summary of the family: Transfer RNA (tRNA) molecules are approximately 80 nucleotides in length. Lineage: Eukaryota; Metazoa; Chordata; Mammalia; Carnivora; Felidae. RNAcentral also lists the same sequence under 2 other names. The record is from Rfam by way of RNAcentral.
ACCCGGCUGGCUCAGUCGGUAGAGCGUGUGACUCUUGAUCUCAGGGUUGUGAGUUCGAGCCCCAUGUUGGGGG